RNAcentral lists this long non-coding RNA (370 nucleotides) under Mytilus galloprovincialis (Mediterranean mussel). Lineage: Eukaryota; Metazoa; Mollusca; Bivalvia; Mytilida; Mytilidae. The record is from RNAcentral.
UAUAUGUAUAGAUUAUAACAUGCCCUUUACUAUAUUGGCCCUGGUAUUAUCCCGAUACUCCCAUAUCGGCAUCGAGGCUUUAGCCGAGGACCGAUAUGGGUCGAGGGAUGAUACCAGGGCCAAUAUGGAAAAUACAUGUUAUAACCUAUUUAUCUCAUAUUUAAUUUCUGCAGAAUUGAGAGCAAAACAAAUCAAUUAUAACAAUUUAAUGAAACAUAACUGGUAAAAUCUUAAAUUUCUUAUCACAAAAGUUUUAAAAAUUGUCGUAAAGUACACAUGACGUCACGUCAUUUGGAAUCAGGGCACAAUAACCGAUAACCUCUGUUUUGUCCCGGGCAAUUUUGAGGUUAUUGCAUAUGCAAAACCCAAC